AAUAACGAAUCAUAAGAAGUCAGCAGAGGUCGUAGUAGUGUAGAAAUUUCUGUAAUGGAAAUGGAGCGAAGGAC
Molecule: non-coding RNA, 74 nt
Filed under: uncultured Thomasclavelia sp.
Lineage: Bacteria; Bacillati; Bacillota; Erysipelotrichia; Erysipelotrichales; Coprobacillaceae
Source: RNAcentral